UACAGAGGGGGCAAGCGUUGUUCGGAAUUACUGGGCGUAAAGGGCGCGUAGGCGGCCAACUAAGUCAGACGUGAAAUCCCCAGGCUCAACCUGGGAACUGCGUCUGAUACUGGAUGGCUUGAGUUCGGGAGAGGGAAGUGGAAUUCCAGGUGUAGCGGUGAAAUGCGUAGAUAUCUGGAGGAACACCGGUGGCGAAGGCGGCAUCCUGGACCAAUAUUGACGCUGAGGAGCGAAAGCCAGGGGAGCAAACGGG
Molecule: ribosomal RNA, 253 nt
Filed under: uncultured bacterium
Lineage: Bacteria
Description: partial 16S ribosomal RNA
Rfam family: Bacterial small subunit ribosomal RNA
Source: RNAcentral